UUCCAUCUGUAGCCUGGAAGCAGAGAGAGAUGGAUAUGGGUGCUCAGCUUGCCUUCUCUGUUUCACUCAGCCCAGGACCCCAGGCUUCGGGACAGUGUUGCCCACAUUCGGGAUAGAUCUUCCUUCAUCUAUUAAAUAGUUUUGGGAACCCUGUAAUUGAUACAGCUUACAGACGGAGACACUGUGGGUGCCCAUGCUCACUGCACAGAUGAAGGUGGAGGCAAAGAUUUGUAAGCUGAAAGCUGGACAUGCAACUGUGGCAGAAAUGAAGGGGAGGACAGGAGUGCUGCGGAUAGUGUGUCCUUUGAGUCUGUGUCAGCUCUAAUGAUGGAAGAACCUUUUGAGCCAGAGGUCUAAACUGAAACCAGACAUGCCUAAACAUAUCCUAGUCUGCUUUAUGGUGUUAUAAGAGAAGACCUGAAACUGGAUGAUUCAGAAAGGACCUGGAACUGCUCUAUAGUCCUGGAAGUUAGGCAUGUGUCUGAUGACAGCUCUAGGCAGGCCAUUCCACUGUGGGGUGGCUUAAAGCAGAGGUGUCAAGAGAGAGAGAGCAAGAGAGGCAGAGGGGUCCAAACCUACUCUGACAAAAAACCCAACCAUGCUGUAACAAAACUAGCUCCCCAGGUCAUGACUUCAAUUUCUGCCUGACCCAGUCAGUUCUUAAAGGUUAAACUUCUCAACUCA
Molecule: long non-coding RNA, 684 nt
Organism: Mastomys coucha (southern multimammate mouse)
Lineage: Eukaryota; Metazoa; Chordata; Mammalia; Rodentia; Muridae
Exons: 2
Source: RefSeq, a predicted model, not a curated record